UACAGAGGGUGCGAGCGUUUGUCCGGAAUUACUGGGCGUAAAGAGCUCGUAGGUGGUUUGUCGCGUUGUUCGUGAAAACUCACAGCUUAACUGUGGGCGUGCGGGCGAUACGGGCAGACUUGAGUACUGCAGGGGAGACUGGAAUUCCUGGUGUAGCGGUGGAAUGCGCAGAUAUCAGGAGGAACACCGGUGGGCGAAAGGCGGGGUCUCUGG
This 213-nucleotide ribosomal RNA is filed under the name uncultured bacterium. RNAcentral describes it as "partial 16S ribosomal RNA". It matches the Rfam family "Bacterial small subunit ribosomal RNA", at positions 524 to 732 of the family's 1533-position model. The record is from RNAcentral.